UACGAAGGGGGCUAGCGUUGCUCGGAAUCACUGGGCGUAAAGCGCACGUAGGCGGAUCUUUAAGUCAGGGGUGAAAUCCUGGAGCUCAACUCCAGAACUGCCUUUGAUACUGGGGAUCUCGAGUCCGGAAGAGGUGAGUGGAACUCCGAGUGUAGAGGUGAAAUUCGUAGAUAUUGGGAGGAACACCAGUGGCGAAGGCGGCUCACUGGGCCGGUUCUGACGCUGAGGCGCGAAAGCGUGGGGAGCAAACGGG
This 253-nucleotide ribosomal RNA is filed under the name uncultured bacterium. RNAcentral describes it as "partial 16S ribosomal RNA". It matches the Rfam family "Bacterial small subunit ribosomal RNA", at positions 524 to 776 of the family's 1533-position model. The record is from RNAcentral.